UUGGAGGCUUGUGAGGAUGUGGGGGAGGAGACAGCUAGAAAGGACCAGUUUAUCUUGAUCUUAUAAAGUGACCGUAUCCUGAGACUUAUAUACUGAAUCCGACAGAAUAAGCCCAACAACUCCAGAUUCUCAGUGGCCCAGCACAACGAAGGCUGCUAGCUCACUCACACUGCAGGUCCAAGGCAGGUUGGCAGAGGGAGCCAGGCCAGCGACAGCUUCCAUGUCCACAUGGUGGUGGGAAGGGAACCAUAGCAACUGUGUGCUGGUUCUAGAAGCUUCCUCCUGAAAGUGUUACACAUCGCUCCUGCUCAUGUCUCAUUGGCCAAGGCAAAUCAUGUAGCCGCCACACCUCACUUCAAAGGGCAGUGAAGUACGAUCCUACCACGUUUCUGAUGGAAAUACCUGUGAACAGCACUAACGACUUCCACCUGUCCCAGGGGAAUGGCCAGCUUACCCAGAAAGCAGCAGCUAUUUAACCUUUUUGAGGAUCCAUGGUUUCUCUAUAAAUAUGACUGAAAAACAAGCCUUCUACACAGUGUUUUGAACAAUCUGAAGAAAAUUCAGUAAAACAAGUUAACCUCUGGCUUUGAGACUACUCAUCUAUAGAGAAAAGACCUGGAGUUCAAACUCCCAACUUUCCUACUGCUAUUUGCGAGAUUCUCUUCAAGGCCAUAAUAGCCCUUUUCAUCCAAGCCUUUCUAUAUGAAUAGGAUUGACGCACACAAAUGUCUGUCAAGAGUUUACAAAAAACCCUCAGGGGCAGUGCCAUCCAGUCUCGGUUGAAUUUGCCCUGACCUCACCCACUGGCCCACAGCUCUCCUGGUUACUCAAACUCCUGCAUCUUGGCCCAGCUCCUUGACUCCUGCUGUAUGCCCAGCUGUUGUGACGGGAGGCCUGGCCUGGCCAGGUGUUUUCAACUUCAUCUUCAGGACUCUCUACAAAGCCUGUUUUCCAAUAUCCAUUCUCAAGCCUCAUGCUCCAUGAUCGUCACUGACACACACUCUUGGGAUGAAGAGUCUGGCUCUCUUGGGCGCCCACCUCCCCUUCCCAAAUACUUGGGGGGGGGGGGAGAAGGUCAGGGAAGAACGGUUGCUUUGAAUUCAUCAUAAUAUUGUGAUUUCAUAUUAGUCUGAGUCUCGUCCCUAUGUCACUGGCCCCCAUUCAAGCCCUGUUGACAUUAGCAAGCUGAAUACUCUCACUGGGAUGUUCCAAACAAUGGAAAAACUCUUCAGAGAAACUGAUGACUGUUUUACUUUUGGCCUGAGCUGGGGGUAGAGUGGGCAUUCCAGAGAACCCAUCCAAGACACCACCUGAUCUGAUCCUUUUACUCUCUGAGUUCAAAAUGUUCUUCAAAAUGUUCCUCGCAGAGGGACCUUGCAUUUUAUAGACUGCUGCCCAAGGAACUUGUUGCUACAACAAGAACUCCCAAACCAUGGAAACUGUUUGUGUCCGCCAAACCCAAAGCUGAACUAUAUACACAGCCUAAAAAUCAAGUUGCCUUAAUCUUGCAUUUUUGGCUCAUUUUUUCUAGCCACAUCCUAAAACAAAAUGGGUUGAAUUACUAGAUGAAAAAUAAAUUCCAUCCAUGGGAACUGUUGCUAUUGUCACACAAAACAAAGGGAAGGUGUUUUUCUGCCAUGCCGUGGAAGAGGUGAAGUCACUGUUUUAGAAUAAAAUGAUCAGACUUAAAUUUCUACCACAUGCAGUAAACAGAAUUGGUUACUUAAUUAGACUGCCUACUAAAAGGUCUCUUAUUAUUUUAAAUUGUGCUUUAACAUAAUAAUUCCAGUAAAACAUUUCUGGAAAAAAAUUUGAAAAUGUGUAUUUGGUCUUUAAAAUGUGUAUAAUUUUUCCCAGUAGUUCCAAUUAUGGGAAUAAUUAUGAAAGUGCCCAAAGAAUUAUCUGCAUAGAUAUUUAAUGCUGCAUUACUUUUAACAAUGAGGGGAGUGGAAACUGUUUAGGUGUCCAACUUAGGUAAUUGGUUAAAUAAAUUACUGCGUAGUAGAAAUGUUCUUUAAAACCUAAAUAGCCCUCUGGAUUUAGCACAGCUCUCCAUUCUUUACGUACUGCUGUCUAAUAUCCCAGCAUCUGAGUGUUCCCAGCCUGGGGCUUUCUUUAGUUAACCCACACGCUUAUACCCCCACUACUGAGUUGUUUGCUCACCAAGACUCAGUUUUGUUUGUUCCCAAACCUGUUUAUGCUGCUAUAG
Molecule: non-coding RNA, 2209 nt
Organism: Microcebus murinus (gray mouse lemur)
Lineage: Eukaryota; Metazoa; Chordata; Mammalia; Primates; Cheirogaleidae
Source: RefSeq, a predicted model, not a curated record